AGCAGCCGCGGUAAUUCCAGCUCCAAUAGCGUAUAUUAAAGUUGUUGCAGUUAAAAAGCUCGUAGUUGAAUUUCGGGAUCAAUAUAUCGGUCGUGCCUUGGUACGUACUGGUAUCAUUGGUUUCUCCUUUCUGACGAACCAUGAUGUCAUUAAUUUGGUGUUAUGGGAAGUUAGGACUGUUACUUUGAAAAAAUUAGAGUGUUUAAAGCAGGCUUUGGCUUGAAUACAUUAGCAUGGAAUAAUGAAAUAGGACGUUCGAACCUAUUUUGUUGGUUUCUAGGAUCAACGUAAUGAUUAAUAGGGAUAGUUGGGGGCAUUAGUAUUCAAUUGUCAGAGGUGAAAUUCUUGGAUUUAUUGAAGACUAACUACUGCGAAAGCAUUUGCCAAGGAUGUUUUCAUUAAUCAAGAACGAAAGUUAGGGGAUCGAAGACGAUCAGAUACCGUCGUAGUCUUAACCAUAAACUAUGCCGACUAGGGAUCGGACGCAGUUAAUUUUAUAAUGACGUGUUCGGCACCUUAC
This 520-nucleotide unclassified non-coding RNA is filed under the name uncultured Glomus. Its description in RNAcentral is "SSU rRNA". It matches the Rfam family "Eukaryotic small subunit ribosomal RNA", at positions 569 to 1091 of the family's 1831-position model. Lineage: Eukaryota; Fungi; Glomeromycota; Glomeromycetes; Glomerales; Glomeraceae. The record is from RNAcentral.